AGUGAACGCUGGCGGUAGGCCUAACACAUGCAAGUCGAACGGCAGCACAGUAAGAGCUUGCUCUUACGGGUGGCGAGUGGCGGACGGGUGAGGAAUACAUCGGAAUCUACUUUUUCGUGGGGGAUGACGUAGGGAAACUUACGCUAAUACCGCAUACGACCUGCGGGUGAAAGCAGGGGAUCUUCGGACCUUGCGCGAUUGAAUGAGCCGAUGUCGGAUUAGCUAGUUGGCGGGGUAAAGGCCCACCAAGGCGACGAUCCGUAGCUGGUCUGAGAGGAUGAUCAGCCACACUGGAACUGAGACACGGUCCAGACUCCUACGGGAGGCAGCAGUGGGGAAUAUUGGACAAUGGGCGCAAGCCUGAUCCAGCCAUACCGCGUGGGUGAAGAAGGCCUUCGGGUUGUAAAGCCCUUUUGUUGGGAAAGAAAAGCAGCAGGUUAAUACCCCGCUGUUCUGACGGUACCCAAAGAAUAAGCACCGGCUAACUUCGUG
This 492-nucleotide ribosomal RNA is filed under the name uncultured bacterium. Its description in RNAcentral is "partial 16S ribosomal RNA". It matches the Rfam family "Bacterial small subunit ribosomal RNA", at positions 29 to 507 of the family's 1533-position model. The record is from RNAcentral.